AAAAAAGAGUAAAUGGAGAAGACGAGAGAAAGCAGA
RNAcentral lists this small RNA (36 nucleotides) under Arabidopsis thaliana (thale cress). Its description in RNAcentral is "ATSL139840". The record is from RNAcentral. Lineage: Eukaryota; Viridiplantae; Streptophyta; Magnoliopsida; Brassicales; Brassicaceae.